RNAcentral lists this long non-coding RNA (960 nucleotides) under Brassica napus (rape). RNAcentral's name for it is "long non-coding RNA (BNAP_LNC008798)". The record is from RNAcentral. Lineage: Eukaryota; Viridiplantae; Streptophyta; Magnoliopsida; Brassicales; Brassicaceae.
GUGUGUGCUGGAGACUCUGAAAACAUGGCGUUGAGCGGCUCGAAUGCUAAAAAAGAGGCUUACUUUUAACGAGAAGACAAACAGAAAAAAAAAACAAUUCGGAUCUAUUCAGUUUUUUAUGUAAAAUCAAUCAUUAGCUUAAAGAUUGAAAAUAUUGCCAAUUACUGUAUUUUACUGUGAGUACGGCUAAUAGAAAGAGAUAGUUCAGUACUUGCCAUUGUCAAAUUGACAUAACUAUAACUUAACUCUUUUCCCCACGUGAAAUUUGAUAUAAGGUGGAUAUAGUUGUUGGAUUAUGUGAUUUUAUUAUUAGCCCAUAUUUGAGACAAAAUUAGGGGUUUUAAGGGGAGUUUCUGCAUGAAAGUCAUGGGGGAGGCUCUCAUAUUUAUAUAGGAAUUUAGUAAGGCUGUGAGGGAGUGGAACAUAGUCAAAUUAAAUGAAGAGAGAUAGAGUGAGUGUGUGUGCUGGAGACUCUGAAAACAUGGCGUUGAGCGGCUCGAAUGCUAAAAAAGAGGCUUACUUUUAACGAGAAGACAAACAGAAAAAAAAAACAAUUCGGAUCUAUUCAGUUUUUUAUGUAAAAUCAAUCAUUAGCUUAAAGAUUGAAAAUAUUGCCAAUUACUGUAUUUUACUGUGAGUACGGCUAAUAGAAAGAGAUAGUUCAGUACUUGCCAUUGUCAAAUUGACAUAACUAUAACUUAACUCUUUUCCCCACGUGAAAUUUGAUAUAAGGUGGAUAUAGUUGUUGGAUUAUGUGAUUUUAUUAUUAGCCCUUUUUCUUUACUCUUUCUGGGGAUUACGGAUGUUUUUUUCGAAAGUGUUUUAAUUAGGGAUAGCCCUAUUGAGUCUUGGAAAUGAAAGAAACAGUAAGGAUAAAUACGAACGUAAAUAUAAUAGGGCGGCAAAAGAUAGCUGGUUGGGUUGUGUUGUGUUCUUUGUAGGUCAUGAGUAGGCUAUAUG